GUGGGGUCCGAUUACUUUUAGUUUUCGCUCUCGAACUUUAGUAAAAGUGAAUAGAAAUUUUAACACAAGAUUUAUGGCCUUAAAAGGAAGGGUGGGAUUGAUUUAGUAAGUUUUGGUCCCAACAGUUUAGGAAUAAGGGGCCAAAAAGGGCCCAAAUAAGUAUUUUUAGCUCACCUGGCCCGAAGGGCCAAGGGCCAAGUGAGCUUUUCUCAUCACUUGGUGUCUGUCGUCGUUAACUUUUACAAAAAUCUUCUCCUCUGAAACUACUGGGCCAAAUUAAAUAAAACUUGGCCACAAUCAUCAUUGGGGUAUCUAGUUUAUAAAAUGUGUGGCGUUACCCGCCAAACCAACCAAGAUGGCCGCCAUGGCUAAAAAUAGAACAUAGGGGUAAAACGCAGUUUUCGGCUUAUAACUCAAAAACCAAAGCAUUUAGAGCAAAUCUGACAUGGGGGUAAAAUUGUUUAUCAGGUCAAGAUCUAUCUGCCCUGAAAUUUUCAGAUGAAUCAGAGAACCUGUUGUUGGGUUGCUGCCCCUGAAUUGGUAAUUUUAAGGAAAUUUUGCUGUUUUUGGUUAUUAUCUUGAAUAUAAUUAUAGAUAGAGAUAAACUGUAAGCAGCAAUAAUGUUCAGCAAAGUAAGAUUUACAAAUAAGUCGACAUGACCAAAAUGGUCAAUUGACCCCCUAAGGAGUUAUUGUCCUUUAUAGUCAAUUUUAAACAAUUUUCUUAAAAUUUGUAAAUUUUUACUACCGGUAACAUUUCCCACAGAAACUACUGGGCCAAGUUCAUUAUAGAUGGUGAUAAUUGUAAGCAGCAAGAAUGUUCAGUAAAGUAAGAUGUACAAACAUAUCACCAUCACCAAAACAAAAUUUUGUCAUGAAUCCAUCUACUUCCUUUGUUUAAUAUUCACAUAGACCAAGGUGAGCGA
This 925-nucleotide long non-coding RNA is filed under the name Mytilus galloprovincialis (Mediterranean mussel). The record is from RNAcentral. Lineage: Eukaryota; Metazoa; Mollusca; Bivalvia; Mytilida; Mytilidae.